Long non-coding RNA from Canis lupus familiaris (dog), 1407 nucleotides. RefSeq lists it as uncharacterized. The record is from RefSeq and is a predicted model, not a curated record. NCBI's taxonomy places the organism in Eukaryota, Metazoa, Chordata, Mammalia, Carnivora, Canidae. The transcript is spliced from 2 exons.
UCGGCGGCAGACAUUUCUCCUCACCGUUGCCAGAGUUCGGCGGGAACCCGGGCUGCAUCCUGCUGGCGGGCGACUGCGUUGUCUCUGGAGGCCCCACGCCUGCGGCCCCGUGCAGUGGUUGGGGCCUUGCCCUUGCUGGCUCCGCGGCCCCAGUCCGCGGUUCCCGGGCCCGCCCCCGGCUCGCCACCCUCACCCCCAGCUCUAGGACUGAAUGGGAAAGGCCGCCCGCAGCUCGGCCCGUGCCGGGCCAUCCGGUUCUUCCCGGUGUCGCUAAGACAGCACUCAACUGGGGAGGCGGAGGAAGGAGCCGUUUAGCCAUUGGAUUCUGAUGGAGUUCACCUUUCUGCAGCCCAGACACUGUAACUCAAAACACCCCCCAAGAGGAGUCCUGAGACGUUGAGUCUCCAUUUGCAGAAGGCCAGAGUAUUCCAACACCAUCACCUCAUGCGCAGAAUGACGGCUGCCAAAUUCACGUACCGAAGACUUGCUCCAGGACCCAGGGCUCCCUAAUCGCCCAGAAGAGAAACUUUCAAGUCCCUGCCCCUCUUUGGAACAUGCCUUUUCCGCCCUCGUCUAGCCCUAUGAGAAUCGAACCCAUCAUUCAAAACUGAGAUUCGGUUCCCACUUCCUCCGUGGGCUUUUCCUUCUCUCAGCCAAAUGGCUUUGUUCAGAUAUACGCAAAUAUUUGGUUAGGAUGAUCUGCUUCUACUUGCUACCACACCCAAAAUAUUAAAAAGACGAAAAGAAAACUCAUUGAGUUAUUGUCUUGGGUAAACAAUUUACCAAGGGUAAAGGAGAAAAAAAAUAUUUUCAACACGCGGGCUAGUAAAUACACUUGAAAAAAAUCCACGGAUCUGCAUUGCCACAUUUGGACCACCCAGAGUUUCUGCUUAAGAGGGAGGCACCUGGGAAAGCAGGGCUGUGAGUACAGGGGCUUUGUAAUUCCCUCAGAACCAAGCCUAACCACUGCUGGGCACCAGCAAUCCUAAUACUUCCCCCUAGGUGGCCCAAUCCAGUCAUUAAGUAAAUUCCUAUAGCCCACCCAUGACACUUUGCAGUAUUUAAAACUCAAGGUAAAAAAAUAAAAAUAAAAAUAAAAAAAAUAAAACUCAAGGUCACCGUCAACUGAUGAACGAGUCGACAAAAACAGUACAUCCAUACAAUGGAAUGGAGUAGUGAUACCGGCUACAAUUGUGAAUGAGCGCAUCAUGACAUUUGGGGCAGCUUGUUAACUAACAGCUGCUUAGGAGCACUGGACUUCAUGGGACCAAAAUAAAUUCUGAAUGUGGAGAACAACAGUCCUUCCCCUCAAGGACCACAGCAAAAACCCAGAUAAGAGUCAAAAAAAAAAAAAAGAAAAAGAAAGAAAAACAGAAAAGAAAGAAAGAAAGAAAGGAAGAAAGAAAG